Molecule: long non-coding RNA, 1290 nt
Organism: Condylura cristata (star-nosed mole)
Lineage: Eukaryota; Metazoa; Chordata; Mammalia; Eulipotyphla; Talpidae
Exons: 3
Source: RefSeq, a predicted model, not a curated record
UUGGCCUGACCAAAAAAAGCCAUCCGGCGCCCGGGAGAAGCGAGACUCGACUCGGGUUCUCGCCCUUCUCUUUUCUUUUUUCUCUUUCUCUUCUCCGGUUCCUGAUUUAGCUGGGAGCUGUUUAUUUAUGGCUGCAAAUGUGUGUGUGCGCGAAGGAAAGCGGGAGAAUUGAUCUUUGCCUGGACUUAAAGAUGGAGCGGAUGGCGCUGGAGGGAAUUUGGGCUGUGCAGUCAGGCUCAGACCCUGGGCGCCGAAGGGGGCAGCUUGGCACGGAGCCCAAGGUCUUUCUUCCCCGCACCCCUCACAUCGUGACCUUGCUGGAAUCCUCAGGCCCGGGAGCAACCUGGGGACCCACCUGUCCCAGGCAGAGCUACCAAGAAAGGCUGCACGGAGGGGCCCGUCCUGUGCCAGUCUUUAAAGUGAGCGCAAUAAAAGGGGUCAAAUCCUCAGACGCGAACCUGAUCGCUUGUCAAAGAAGCAACUUGCCAUGAAAUCCGCUAAUGCGCGGCGACUCGCCCACGAGGAGAUACAGGGAGCCUUGACCAGCUGGAAGGAAGACAGUGCAAAUCAGACCUGUGCCCGCUAAACCUGAAACUCCUCGCCGAGAGCGGGUGCCAAGAGAAGAAAUCGGAUCAAAGUUCAGGCUGCCGGGCCCAGCUGACCCGCCCUGUUGUCCCCGCUGGGAGGGCCAGAACCAGCCUCUAGGCUGCCACUCCACGAACUUCGAUAAGCGCUCGCGACUGGCGCCCCAGAGGGCUCUCCCCGCCGGGACCGGGAAAAGCGGGCGGCAAACCGGAGGCUGUCAAGGCGGGGGAAGCGCCCCCCACCCCACUGCUCCCCGUGGCUUGGGGUUUUCGCGGUCUCCCCAGCUGGAGCCGGGGCCGCCAGGAGCCGAGAGCGUUAGGUUCAAAUGCAUCAAGACUCUGAAGUCAUUUAUCCGGUUUCAUAAAUAAUUUUCUUAUUACACUUAAGCCCGAUUCCUGCCCCCUUUCCGUUUUUAUUGCGGGGUUUCAGCAGCUAAAAAGUUUCUAAGUCGGGUGGGCCGUUGUUUUCCUUUUUCCAUCAUUAACAUCAUUAAUAUAAGCUAUCAAUAACCCUGUCGUUCGGAGCCGAGUUUCACGAUAUUGAUCCACGCGGCUAUUCAUCUCUGCCAUGCAAGACACGGAAUAAUUUUCGCAUUACAGUAGCUUGGAUUUGCUUUUAAUUCAUAUUUAAAGCUGCAACCGGCUCAGUGGAGCGCUCUGCGAAAGACUAGAGGCGCCUAAUUAAUAAUAAGUUAGAAACGAAGGA